RNAcentral lists this ribosomal RNA (823 nucleotides) under Alexandrium tamarense. RNAcentral's name for it is "LSU rRNA". It matches the Rfam family "Eukaryotic large subunit ribosomal RNA", at positions 1 to 774 of the family's 3401-position model. The record is from RNAcentral. Lineage: Eukaryota; Dinophyceae; Gonyaulacales; Pyrocystaceae.
GCUUAGCAUGAAGUGAAGCACAUACACCUGCUGAAUUUAAGCAUAUAAGUAAGUGGUGGAAAUUAAACCAAAUGGGAUAUCUUUAGUAAUUGCGAAUGAACAAGGAUAUGCUUAGCUUGACAAUGGAGCUAUUGGCUUUGAAUUGUAUUGUGGAAAUGUAUUACCAACAGAGGUGCAGGUGCCAGCCUAUUGAAAUAAAGCGUCAAUGAGGGUGAGAAUCCUGUUUGUCAUGUGCAGCCCUUUGUGCACGGUGUAUAUUUGCUGAGUCACACUCCUUGGCAUUGGAAUGCAAAGUGGGUGGUAAGUUUCAUGUAAAGGUAAACAUGCAAUUGAGACUGAUAGCACACAAGUACCAUGAGGGAAAUAUGAAAAGGACUUUGAAAAGAGAAUUAAAUGAGUUUGUAUUUGCUGAACACAAAGUAAACAGACUUGAUUUGCUUGGUGGGAGUGUUGCACUUGCUUGACAAGAGCUUUGGGCUGUGGGUGUAAUGAUUCUUUCUUUGCAUGCCAGUUUCUAUUUGUACAUCUGAUUACCUUUGCACAUGAAUGAUAAGUCUCCUGUGGGGGGUGGAUUGCAUGUGCAUGUAAUGAUUUGUGUUUUGAUACAUGUGUCUGGUGUAUGUGUGUGUGUUCCUGUGCUUGGGGAUGCUUCCUUCCUUGGACUUACAAGCCCUGACACACACAUGCUGGCAAAAUGCUUCUGCUUGACCCGUCUUGAAACACGGACCAAGGAGUCUAACAGAUGUGCAAAGUUUGAAGGUGGUAUACCUUUGUGUGCAAUGAAAGUGUCAGCUGGGAUAUGUGCACCAGCACCCAAUAAUUA